GAUGAACGCUGGCGGCGUGCCUAAUACAUGCAAGUCGAGCGAACAGACGAGGAGCUUGCUCCUUUGACGUUAGCGGCGGACGGGUGAGUAACACGUGGGUAACCUACCUAUAAGACUGGGAUAACUUCGGGAAACCGGAGCUAAUACCGGAUAAUAUUUCGAACCGCAUGGUUCGAUAGUGAAAGAUGGCUCUGCUAUCACUUAUAGAUGGACCUGCGCCGUAUUAGCUAGUUGGUAAGGUAACGGCUUACCAAGGCAACGAUACGUAGCCGACCUGAGAGGGUGAUCGGCCACACUGGAACUGAGACACGGUCCAGACUCCUACGGGAGGCAGCAGUAGGGAAUCUUCCGCAAUGGGCGAAAGCCUGACGGAGCAACGCCGCGUGAGUGAUGAAGGUCUUCGGAUCGUAAAACUCUGUUAUUAGGGAAGAACAAACGUGUAAGUAACUGCGCACGUCUUGACGGUACCUAAUCAGAAAGCCACGGCUAACUACGUG
Molecule: ribosomal RNA, 497 nt
Filed under: uncultured bacterium
Lineage: Bacteria
Description: partial 16S ribosomal RNA
Rfam family: Bacterial small subunit ribosomal RNA
Source: RNAcentral